AGAAUUAUUCAAACAUGGUAAUAUAUAACAUUUCACAAAAAAUAUAUUCUAAUAACUACAAAGCUAUAUACAAACAAAACAGACAUUAAAAAAUUUUAAAAAAAUGUUAGAUGCAAAUUUGUUCGAAUUUGGGAAACAUUGUUUUGGCUCUAAAAACUCAGAUUCAUGUGUCAAAUUUUCUUAGUACUUGAAAAGACUACAACUUUUUUUUACCAGGAAAAGACAUAAACUUUAUAACUUACAUUGUUGUUGCUUGCUUUUAUGUUAACUGUAUAUUUGUUGUGAGCUCAUGGUGGUUAUACAUUUACAGGUUUUUGAUCUUACGUAAUAAUACAUUUACGUAAUAAUGUUGAGAUCUGUGCUUACGGUUGUUGUCAAUUGAUGUAUUUUUAUGAAAUUUUAUAAAAAUACAUUUACCAAUUGGCUACACCACAGCUUUCAACAUAACAAUAUAGUGGUUCCAUAUGAAUUGUCUCAUUUAUAAUAUC
Molecule: long non-coding RNA, 488 nt
Filed under: Brassica napus (rape)
Lineage: Eukaryota; Viridiplantae; Streptophyta; Magnoliopsida; Brassicales; Brassicaceae
Description: long non-coding RNA (BNAP_LNC021952)
Source: RNAcentral